Long non-coding RNA from Nelumbo nucifera (sacred lotus), 969 nucleotides. RefSeq lists it as uncharacterized. NCBI's taxonomy places the organism in Eukaryota, Viridiplantae, Streptophyta, Magnoliopsida, Proteales, Nelumbonaceae. The record is from RefSeq and is a predicted model, not a curated record.
AAUCGAGGAGAAGGAAAGAAAAGAGGGAAGAAAAUUUCUUCUCCGAUCCUUAAAGUAAAAUUGGGUAAAGCUAAGAAGACACUCAGAGUCUGAGCAACUAUACUUGGAGGAGCAGUUGCUCCAGACCUCUUCAAGGAACUGGUGCACCGUUCAUGAUAGAACAUAUAUUCCCACCAUUGACAUGGGGAUGUCAGGGUUGGCCAAUACAAGGUCAAUUGCGUUAUUCAUGUAAUUGAGAGGAUUGAUUCUCCAUAUUAGAUCAAGGGCAUCAACUUCCAGCUACUAUCUUCAUCCCAAGGAUGGAAAGUUUGUGACUUGGACUUGAGAUGCCUCCAUAUAAAACCAUGGCUCAGGCAAGUUGACUUGUUCACUCCAAAAAUCAUUGGUUUCUACUAACAUUUGAAUAACCAUUGAAGGAUUAUUAUUAACUUGAGAAUAAUGUUGUUUUUAUCAAUGUAUCCAAUAAAAGAGUGCCAUGACUUGAUGGAGUUGUUUUUGACCCUAACAGGUUAACUGAAUCACGUUGAGAACUGGCUUGGUGAUAGUGUUGUUUCACUCACUAGAACAUUAACUAUUUGACUGGAUAAAACUUAAAAUAAAGCAUGAUUAGCUAACCUCACUCUGAACUUCUUGAACUUAGAUCUGUGCUGCACCUGCAUGACCAGGUUCCUGGUGGCGGCACCAUAUUGCUGAUCAUGGAACAAUAUUUUUCUCUUCAAUAUGUAAGAGGAACGCUAUUCCUGGUGUACAAACCAUAUCUUCGGUCAUUCAUGUCUUGGAGUAGCCUGUUCUAUAACAAAGUUUCAAGGGAUUGGUGAUUUCCACAUCUGUGUAAAUGAUAUAUUAGCUCUGCAUCUAUGUUACUCUGAUAUGGCAAGGACACAGUCGGACAUAAAAAGGGCAGCCCAGUGCACGAGGCUCCUGCCAAUGCAGUGUCUGGGGAGGGACAGAUGUACGCAGCCUUACCCC